This 727-nucleotide long non-coding RNA is filed under the name Rhinopithecus bieti (black snub-nosed monkey). RNAcentral's name for it is "lncRNA (ENSRBIG00000046287.1)". The record is from RNAcentral. Lineage: Eukaryota; Metazoa; Chordata; Mammalia; Primates; Cercopithecidae.
UAGAUAAUAAUGAUAGCACUAAUGUUUGUCAAGCAUUAUCUAUAGACCAGGUACUGUUUUAUUAACUUUACAAGUAUUAAUUCACUUAAUUCUUAUAAAAGUACUCUGAAACACAUUCUAUUACAAUCUUUCUUUUGCAGAUGAGGAAACUAAGGCACAGAGAGUUUAAGUAACUCGCUCAGAGUUUGACAGCUACCAAGCAGCAGAGUUGAGACUUGAACCCAGGCCCUGCAGUCUCACUGCAAAACCCAUCUCUUCUCUGUCACUAUCUUCACCUAUCUCUUUGCCUCUCUAGGAACCAACACUGUGACUCCCAAAACAUUGCUUAAUCUGGGAUAUCAUUAGACUCAAAAAUUUCAAAAACACUUUGGAGAAUUAUAUCAGGGCAGGAGCCUCUUUGCUGUCCUCUCCCCUGCUCCAUCUCUCCCUGUGACCUGCCAAGGUUGUCCAUCAAUGUGGUCCUUCCAGGUGAGCCCUGGGCAGAGACAGGUGGCAAGGGCAGAAGGCAGAUCUGGCGGGAGAAAGAACGUAGCCAGCACCAAGGCCAGCCCGAGCUGUGUUUGAGCAGCUGGGAGCAUGCAGGUCCUUUUCUUGAGGUGGACACACUGGAGAAGGGAAAGGUAGCUGGGGAAGAGAAUCCUUUCCCCAGAGACUGGCACUUGGAGACCACUGACUGAAUCCCUCAGGGCUUCUGUUUUUUUGUUUGUUUUUUCGUCUGUAAAAUCAG